UCAAACUUGGUCAUUUAGAGGAAGUAAAAGUCGUAACAAGGUCUCCGUUGGUGAACCAGCGGAGGGAUCAUUACCGAGUUUUUACAACUCCCAAACCCACUGUGAACCUUUAAACGUUGCUUCGGCGCCGCGUCCCUGCCCCCGGGCUCGGCGCGCGCCGAGGACCCCAAACUCUUGUUUUCAUUAGAGAAUUCUGAGUGGCAUUUUAUGCAAACAAAUGAAUCAAAACUUUCAACAACGGAUCUCUUGGUUCUGGCAUCGAUGAAGAACGCAGC
RNAcentral lists this unclassified non-coding RNA (275 nucleotides) under uncultured fungus. Its description in RNAcentral is "partial contains small subunit ribosomal RNA, internal transcribed spacer 1, and 5.8S ribosomal RNA". The stretch from base 1 to 73 matches the Rfam family "Eukaryotic small subunit ribosomal RNA", at positions 1759 to 1831 of the family's 1831-position model. The record is from RNAcentral. Lineage: Eukaryota; Fungi.